GCAUCGGUGGUGUAAUGGAUCAGCAUGGCAGACCGGAUAUCUGUAGAUGCGGGUUCGAGUCCAGCCCGAGGUU
Non-coding RNA from Dictyocaulus viviparus (bovine lungworm), 73 nucleotides. Lineage: Eukaryota; Metazoa; Nematoda; Chromadorea; Rhabditida; Metastrongylidae. The record is from Rfam.